Molecule: ribosomal RNA, 829 nt
Filed under: Rhizocarpon geographicum
Lineage: Eukaryota; Fungi; Ascomycota; Lecanoromycetes; Rhizocarpales; Rhizocarpaceae
Description: partial large subunit ribosomal RNA
Rfam family: Bacterial large subunit ribosomal RNA (bases 1-302)
Source: RNAcentral
GGGUUCCAAAAUUAUUGUUAAGUGAAAAUAAGGUAGUGUUUAUCCAAGCCAACCAGGAAAUGGGCUUAGGAGCGGCCAUUUUUUAAAGACCUCGUAACAGAGCACUGGUUUUAUACAAUUUUGUAUGUAUUGUUAGAUGCACCUAAAAUUUAACGGAUCUAAAUAAUAUACCGAGACCUUGUCCAUAAAUAUUUAUAUGUAUAAGUUACAUAUAAUAUAUAUGGGGUAGCGGAACAUUGGGCAUAUCUCAGAUUUUUUCUUUUUAAGACUUAAGAUUAGAUUACCCAAGUGAUAAUGCUGACAUGAGUAACGAUAAAGGGUUUAUACCCUCGCCUAAAGCUUAUGGAAUUUACUUAAAGUAACGGCCUCUUAGUUUAAAUUUGCUUUACUUUACUGGGUUAUUUAGCUCUAAUUAAAAACGUGAUAAAGUAAAGUUACCUAAUGGUAUAAACGAUGAGAAAAAUUUUUCUAGAAAAAAUUUUUUAGAAAAAAUCUAAGUUUUACGGAAAAUAAGAAUGGAUGCUUAUGGAAACACAUUGAACGCGUAAAGUUGAAAAGUGUAUUAAAGUUUUCUUUAAAGAAAAUAAAAAUAUUUAGUAGGUUUUGACUAAACACACUAUAUAAAUAAAAACAGCGUUUGUGUUAGUAUACUAGAGCUAAGGUACUUGUUAAAAUAGUAACUGGAACUAAGGUGCUAGUGUACUAACUAAAGUGACAAAUGCUCUGGAAAAACGUAAAACCACAUGCUUAAUUAGAGUAUAGACGAGGCGGACCGUCCCUUGUCUAUUAAAAAGCAAAUACCGUACCUAAAAACUAACACAAGUAAGCA